UACGUAGGGUGCAAGCGUUGUCCGGAAUUAUUGGGCGUAAAGAGCUCGUAGGCGGUCUGUCGCGUCGGCUGUGAAAACUCGGGGCUCAACCCCGAGCCUGCAGUCGAUACGGGCAGACUAGAGUGCUGUAGGGGAGACUGGAAUUCCUGGUGUAGCGGUGAAAUGCGCAGAUAUCAGGAGGAACACCGGUGGCGAAGGCGGGUCUCUGGGCCGUAACUGACGCUGAGGAGCGAAAGCCAGGGGAGCAAACGGG
This 253-nucleotide ribosomal RNA is filed under the name uncultured bacterium. Its description in RNAcentral is "partial 16S ribosomal RNA". It matches the Rfam family "Bacterial small subunit ribosomal RNA", at positions 524 to 776 of the family's 1533-position model. The record is from RNAcentral.